GAUUCCCCUAGUAACUGCGAGUGAAGCGGGAAAAGCUCAAAUUUAAAAUCUGGUGGCCUUUGGUCAUCCGAGUUGUAGUCUGGAGAAGUGCUUUCCGCGUUGGACCGUGUAUAAGUCUCUUGGAAUAGAGCGUCAUAGAGGGUGAGAAUCCCGUCUUUGACACGGACUACCAGUGCUUUGUGAUGCGCUCUCAAAGAGUCGAGUUGUUUGGGAAUGCAGCUCAAAAUGGGUGGUA
Molecule: ribosomal RNA, 235 nt
Filed under: Cerioporus squamosus
Lineage: Eukaryota; Fungi; Basidiomycota; Agaricomycetes; Polyporales; Polyporaceae
Description: partial large subunit ribosomal RNA
Rfam family: Eukaryotic large subunit ribosomal RNA
Source: RNAcentral